RNAcentral lists this transfer RNA (71 nucleotides) under marine eukaryotic metagenome. It matches the Rfam family "tRNA". Rfam says of the family: Transfer RNA (tRNA) molecules are approximately 80 nucleotides in length. Their secondary structure includes four short double-helical elements and three loops (D, anti-codon, and T loops). The record is from RNAcentral.
GGGGUGUAGCUCAGUUGGUUAGAGCGCUGGCCUGUCACGCCAGAGGCCGCGGGUUCAAGUCCCGUCACUCC